Molecule: ribosomal RNA, 253 nt
Filed under: uncultured bacterium
Lineage: Bacteria
Description: partial 16S ribosomal RNA
Rfam family: Bacterial small subunit ribosomal RNA
Source: RNAcentral
UACGAAGGGUGCAAACGUUAUUCGGAAUAAUUGGGCGUACAGGGUGCGCAGGCGGUGUGCUAAGUCAACUGUUAAAUCCCCCAGCCUAACUGGGGAUCAGCAGUAGAUACUGGUACGCUAGAGGGUGGAAGAGAGAAGUGGAAUUCUUGGAGUAGCGGUAAAAUGCGUAGAUCUCAAGAGGAACACCGAUGGCGAAGGCAGCUUCUUGGUCCACAUCUGACGCUCAUGCACGAAAGCGUGGGGAGCAAACAGG